RNAcentral lists this ribosomal RNA (496 nucleotides) under uncultured bacterium. Its description in RNAcentral is "partial 16S ribosomal RNA". It matches the Rfam family "Bacterial small subunit ribosomal RNA", at positions 29 to 507 of the family's 1533-position model. The record is from RNAcentral.
AUGAACGCUGGCGGCGUGCCUAAUCCAUGCAAGUCGAGCGAACAGACGAGGAGCUUGCUCCUCUGACGUUAGCGGCGGACGGGUGAGUAACACGUGGAUAACCUACCUAUAAGACUGGGAUAACUUCGGGAAACCGGAGCUAAUACCGGAUAAUAUAUUGAACCGCAUGGUUCAAUAGUGAAAGACGGUUUUGCUGUCACUUAUAGAUGGAUCCGCGCCGCAUUAGCUAGUUGGUAAGGUAACGGCUUACCAAGGCAACGAUGCGUAGCCGACCUGAGAGGGUGAUCGGCCACACUGGAACUGAGACACGGUCCAGACUCCUACGGGAGGCAGCAGUAGGGAAUCUUCCGCAAUGGGCGAAAGCUUGACGGAGCAACGCCGCGUGAGUGAUGAAGGUUUUCGGAUCGUAAAACUCUGUUAUUAGGGAAGAACAAAUGUGUAAGUAACUAUGCACGUCUUGACGGUACCUAAUCAGAAAGCCACGGCUAACUACGUG